CAAAAUAUAGCUUAACUAAAGCAUCUCGCUUACACCGAGAAUAUAUCUGUUAAAUCCAGGUUAUUUUGA
RNAcentral lists this transfer RNA (69 nucleotides) under Osteocephalus leprieurii (Cayenne slender-legged treefrog). Its description in RNAcentral is "tRNA-Val". It matches the Rfam family "tRNA". From Rfam's summary of the family: Transfer RNA (tRNA) molecules are approximately 80 nucleotides in length. Their secondary structure includes four short double-helical elements and three loops (D, anti-codon, and T loops). Lineage: Eukaryota; Metazoa; Chordata; Amphibia; Anura; Hylidae. The record is from RNAcentral.